UAUUCUCCUAAAGCAAAACCCUAAAAAAGGAAAACAAAUCGAAUAUAUCAGUGAAAAAUCAAAAAAUAGAAAAAAUAAAUCGAAUGUUAACCAAGCUUCAAAUAAAACCCUAAAGUGAAAAAAAUAACCCAAAAAACUUAUCAAAAAAUAGGGAAGAACCGAUACCUAGAUCGAAAUGGAGGGGAGGAGAAGAGAGAGUCUUUAGAUCUCUAUGAUGGGGCUGC
RNAcentral lists this long non-coding RNA (224 nucleotides) under Elaeis guineensis (African oil palm). RNAcentral's name for it is "long non-coding RNA (EGUI_LNC069211)". Lineage: Eukaryota; Viridiplantae; Streptophyta; Magnoliopsida; Arecales; Arecaceae. The record is from RNAcentral.